AGCAAGCUGGCGGCGUGCUUUACACACGCAAAUCGAGCGAACGAAGCCCCUUCGGGACGGCACUAGCGGCGGACGGGUGAGUAACACGUGGGUAACCUGCCUCAUAGAGGGGAACAGCCUUUCGAAAGGAAGAUUAAUACCGCAUAAGAUUGGAGUGGCGCAUGGCAUAGCAAUUAAAGGAGUAAUCCGCUAUAAGAUGGACCCGCGGCGCAUUAGCUAGUUGGUGAGGUAAUGGCUCACCAAGGCGACGAUGCGUAGCCGACCUGAGAGGGUGAUCGGCCACAUUGGAACUGAGAUACGGUCCAGACUCUUACGGGAGGCAGCAGUGGGGAAUAUUGCACAAUGGGGGAAA
Molecule: ribosomal RNA, 352 nt
Filed under: bacterium enrichment culture
Lineage: Bacteria
Description: bacterial SSU rRNA
Rfam family: Bacterial small subunit ribosomal RNA
Source: RNAcentral